ACUCCUUCCCUGCCUUUCCUACCUAUCACUCUCGUGCUGAAAGUUGGAGCUCCUUACCCAAAGACUGGGCGGAAAGGGUGACCGCCCUGGACCCCUGCCCGACUUCCCGUUAGGCCAAGCCGCUGUCCUGAAAGGGGAUCGUGUCCAGGCCGGCUUCCUGGAGACACACCUGCGCCUGCACACACCCACCGCGGUCGCGUCACCAGUGCCGCGGCCACGUGGACGAAGACCAAAGUCUGGAGGGAAUUCCCUCAGCCACAAAGCGAUGGGAAAGCGGGACCCGGUGGAGACCAGAGUCUUGCUAUGCUUUCCAGGCUGGUUUUGAACUCCUAGCCUCAAGCGAUUUUCCUGCCUCAGCUUCCCAAAGUGCUGGGAUUACAGGCACAAGCCACUGCACCCGGCCCUGUUGUUGUUAAGAAAAUUACAAGUUAAAUCUUGUACCAGUGAACAAGAUUUAGCUUGUGAACCUUCUUCAGUGUAAUUUUUCUGGAACCACCAUGAUGAAGUAGAGUCAUUGUCUGGGGUAAAUACCUGAGGUUCCUUCUCUCAGCCAGGAAAUCGAGGACAUGGACACACGAGAAGUGGAUUUAAGAGCAGAAGUUUAAUAGGCGAAAGAAAGAGAAAAGAGAAUCUCUCUCCUGCAGAGAGAGCGGGGCGCCUGAGUGGGUCUUCCGGUCCCAUGGUGAAGUACACAGGUUUUAUAGACUGGCUUGAGGAGGUGGUGUCUGAUUUACAUAGGGCCCAAAGAUCGGUUGGACCAGGUGUGAUGUUUACAUAACAGGAGAAGAAGCUGACCACCCCACCCUAAUCUUUUAUUCUGCAAAUGGAUUUUCUACCUUGCCAGUGCCACGUUUUCUGUUCUUUACCAUUCACAAGGUUGACAAAAGGGAAGAUGGAACUGCCAUGCUGAACAUGCCUAGCCCCCAGGUAGCCUUUUCCUAUUGUCACAGCUGCCAGCCAUUCACCCGUGCAAGCUUGCAGCUUGCUUAUCAGUCUGCAGCUCGAUUUUUCAGCCUGCUUUUGUUAGAAAAGGAAGGAUUUGGGGGCUACUUUUCAUUAAAAGGAAAACCUUACCAAGGACUUCCUUACCCUCACUAUCUGCCUAAAUAUUUCUCUUUAACUCCUAUAUCAAUGACGAUUUAAAUUCUCCCUCUGUUCCCUUGUCUCCCAGUAUACAUCUCCCUUACAGCACCUGUAUACUGUGUUCUGAUGGUCUAAAUAUAGUUAUUCUCCUCUACCCCACAUUGUGAUCUUUGAACAUAAGACUGUGCUUUUAUCUCAUUUUCCCAGUGCCUGUCAUAUUGCCAGGCUUAGCAGGUGCUCAAUAAAUUCUGUUUCAUCAAGUGCUUGAAUGAUAGUCAUAUGGAGAUUCUUUCAGUCAGAAUAUACUAUUGGUCUUGAGAAGAUGAUUUAAACAUUUUUUCCUUUGAAUUUGAUUCCCUUCCUGUUACAUGUUAUCUAAGAAAACAUAUCCUACAGAAGUAUUCCAAAACCCGAGAAAGAAAACACACAACAAAACAAAAAGAUUAGAUAGCAGAUACUGAAUGAAAUGCUCAAAAAUGCUCCAGUUCAAUAUUAAAUGAAAAAUAGAAAAGAGAAAGGAAAACUAUAUUAUGAGAUAAAGUGAAGUAGAGAAAUGAGACUUUGGACAUACACUCACAGGCUUUGGAUUAUAAGAGAAAGAAAAACUUACAUAUGGGGAAAGGAUCUUUGCAAUGGAAUUACUUCCCAAAAGGUGAGACAGUAUUCAAACUGAUGAAAAAUGUUAUUUGUCCUUUGAAAUGUUUAUUUUAAAAUAGGUUUUAUAAUAAUGCAUAGGUUUAUGAUCACAUUUUCUUAUAUCAAAUAACAAUACAGUUUGUUAACUUCUGUAGCUAUGUUCUAAUUGCAGAGCUCUAGUUUGAUUUUAGGUUGGGAGGGUGUAUUCAAAAAUAUAUAAGCUGAACUGAGAGGCUUUGCUUGUCUCAAAAAAAGGUCUCAUGGGAGAUGAAAGUAGAGUUGAAAACCUGAAAGGCAAAAGGUUGCAAGUUUACUGCAAGGUUUUGAGACAAGGAUGCUGUGGUACUAUUACAGUAGAUAGCUAAUCAGGUAUGAGCAGGGCAGAAGAGGGCUCCUCCUGCCCCACCAGGAAUGUCAGGCCAACAUCAAGUGAUGGUCAGGUGGUUGUUACACUGUUUCUCUAAAAUAAUAAUUGGUCACAGGUGGCCCCAGGGGAAGGCAGUCUCCCAGUAGAAAAAACCUGAAAGUUGUGAUCCGCAGCUUCCCGAUAAGAUCUCAGGAGUUGGGCGAGUGGGCUCAAGCAUGUGCAUUAGGAGGCAACAUGGCAGACUUUAACUGGUAUAUAUGACCUUCUAGGAACUUUUGACUGGUAAGGAAAAUCUGUUUCACAUUUCUAGAGUUAAGGCUAGCACCUCAGAUAAUUUGUAAUUUGUAAAUGAAUAUGUAUCUUAUUUGUUUUCUCUAUCAUGUUGUAGAUUAGGGAUCGUGAUGUGGAGCUGCACUUCCUGGUUCCAAAUCCUGGCUCUUCCCCUCAUCCCUGGGUAAGUUGAGGGAUGAGAGCAAGAGAAGGUUGAUCCUGACUCAGAUCUCUGCAUGGGGCAUGUCACUGAUGACGGCGGCAUUCCCUGAGAGAGGGAACACUAAGUUUGAAGUUGGGCAUAGUGAGCACUAUUUUGGAUGAGUUAAGUUUAGAAGUGCCUGAAGACAUCCAAGUGGAAGAAGUGGCUGCAUGGACUGAAGAUACAGACUGGGAAACGUUAACACCAUCAAGGAACUGGAGUCCUGGGCACAGAAUAUGCUGCAAAGGGAGAAGAAGGAAGACGUGUGGUAUGGAAUCACCUAUGGAUAAGGUUGAGAACCAUGGGCUAGAUGCUAUGGAGACCAACGUAUCACUUACUAGGCUUUACUUUGUGCCAGGCACUGGAUUCGGCAUUACCCCAUUUAAGCCUCACUACCAUCCUUCAUGUUACUAUUCCACGUUGCCGCUCAGGAGAAACAAAAUUUUUUUAUUAAAUUCAAGUAACCUGAGGUCCCAUAUUUAGUAAGAGGCAGAGGAGUUAGAUGUGUCAAUAGCUAAAUUACAUGGCUGUGUCCUCUAGCUGGCCAGGGACUGACAACAUCAGUAUCACCUGGUGACUCUCCCAGGGGAGAUGUUUUUAAAAAUCUUUUCCAGUAAUUCUGUGCAACAUGGCAAUCUGAAACCAGUCUUUCAGACCUGGAAGUUCUUUAGAGACCACAGGACUCUCUUUGAUAUUUUUUCUUUUGAAUUUUUUUAAAAUACAGAAUCCUUUUUCAUGUUCUCUGUUUAUAAAACAACUGCAUGUCAAUUACAUUAUUUUUUAGAAGAUAGGUACAAGAGCCAGGCGUGGUGGCUCAUGGCUGUAAUCACAACACUUUGGGAGGUCGAGGCAGGUGGAUCAUUUGAGGCUGGAAGUUCGAGACCAGCCUGGCCAACAUGGCAAAACCUGUCUCUACUAAAAAUAUAAAAAAUUAGCCUGGAGUAGUGGUGCAUGUCCCAGCUACUCGGGAGGCUGAGGCAUGAAAAUCGCUUGAACCCGGGAGGUGCAGGUUGCAGUGAGCCAAGAUCGCACCACUGCACUCCAGCCUGGGCAACAGAGCAAGACUGUGUCUUGACAGCAACAAAAAAAGAAGAUAGGUAUAGGAAUUAAAAAGAAAGCAAAUAAUUACUGGUAGCCUGACCACUAAGAGAUAUAUACUGAUAUUUUUUUUGCGGGGGGUGCAUCUCCUUGCAGGCCUUUUUGUAUGUUUAUGUUCAAACACAUUUGUAACAACAAUGAAUAAAAAACGCAUAAUAUUCAAUGACUU
This 3825-nucleotide long non-coding RNA is filed under the name Homo sapiens (human). RNAcentral describes it as "non-protein coding lnc-TMEM30B-1:9". The record is from RNAcentral. Lineage: Eukaryota; Metazoa; Chordata; Mammalia; Primates; Hominidae.